Molecule: unclassified non-coding RNA, 344 nt
Filed under: Hevea brasiliensis (rubber tree)
Lineage: Eukaryota; Viridiplantae; Streptophyta; Magnoliopsida; Malpighiales; Euphorbiaceae
Source: RNAcentral
GUGGAAAUGGCAUCUUCCUUAUCGUCUCUGUCCCAAACUAUUGGUGAGAACUUCCUCUUCUUCUCUAGUGGAGAAUGAAUACCAUUCUCCACCACCUUUGCCGACUCACUAUUUUUAAAUCGUAAUCCGGACUCAGUGGCAUCAUCAGAUCCACUCUCACUGGAUAGCUCGCCCGGCUCCCUAUCCAUUGUCCUGACAAGCAAAACCUUUUGCUUCAACCCGUGAGAAGCAAUACCACCACUGCUUCCAGAAUCACUUCUACUCGAAGAUCGUAGACUACCAUUACCCGCUUCCCUCUCCUUGAUAUCCUUUUGCCGGACCCUAAUUCUGUCUCUAACAUCCCG